GCGGUAUCCUAACCGUGCAAAGGUAGCAUAAUCACUUGUCCCCUAAAUAGGGACCCGUAUGAACGGCUAAAUGAGAACACGCCUGUCUCCCACGACUAAUCAAUGAAACUGAUCCCCCAGUACAAAAGCUGGAAUAAACCCACAAGACGAGAAGACCCCGUGGAGCUUAAAACACACUGCUAACCAAACCCCCACACAUCAAAAGACCUACCAAUAAGCAAGCCCAUAGCAAGAGUUUUCAGUUGGGGCGACUGCGGAGAAAAACAGAACCUCCAUGAACCACGGCUAACCCCGCCCCCAGGCCGACAGGCCAACGGACACAUAAACUGACCCAGCAUAACACUGACCACCGAACCAAGUUACCCCGGGGAUAACAGCGCCAUCCUCUUCAAGAGCCCAUAUCGCCAAGAGGGUUUACGACCUCGAUGUUGGAUCAGGACACCCCAGUGGUGCAGCCGCUACUAAAGGUGCGUUUGUUCAACGCUUAAAGUCCUACGUGAUCU
Molecule: ribosomal RNA, 503 nt
Filed under: Gehyra sp. MF-2012
Lineage: Eukaryota; Metazoa; Chordata; Lepidosauria; Squamata; Gekkonidae
Description: partial 16S ribosomal RNA
Rfam family: Bacterial large subunit ribosomal RNA
Source: RNAcentral